CAGAGCCACCGCCGAGCACCAGCACAAAACCACCUCUCUACCCCUCUCCUGGUGUGACUGCUGCUGAUGUGGUGUCUCAGGGAGGAAGGACUGAAGAAAUCUUAGAUCUGAUAUCAUCUGUGGGGAACGACACAGGACUGCAGUCCCAGCACCAUCCUGGAGAUGUGCUGUUUGAAGUCACUGCUGAAAUCAAACCCAAGGACUGGAUUCCUCACGGUGGAAGUGAGGUCCAAAAGGGUCUCCUUGAAUCUCUGAA
This is a long non-coding RNA of Melospiza melodia melodia, 256 nucleotides long. RefSeq lists it as uncharacterized. The transcript has 3 exons. Lineage: Eukaryota; Metazoa; Chordata; Aves; Passeriformes; Passerellidae. The record is from RefSeq and is a predicted model, not a curated record.